AGGUUGUUGCUAUCAUCUUGCUUUUGCAUACAUGUUGCUACAAGUGCUUAACAAAUUCUCUCAUUACAGAUGUUUUUGGGCACAUUACUGGAAUACAACCAUUGGAACAAAAAAUGGUGGGCAAUGAAAGGCUUGAGGAUAAAUGUGAAGUCUGCAUCGAAAAUAUCAGGAAAGAAGAUGUUAGAAUAACCCUGUGGGGAAAUACUGCAAAAACUUUUGAUUCCCAAGCUUUACAACAAUUGACAUCACCAAUAUUUGCAGCUUUUACAAGCCUGAAAGUUAAACAAU
Prunus dulcis (almond) is the source of this 288-nucleotide long non-coding RNA. RefSeq lists it as uncharacterized. The record is from RefSeq and is a predicted model, not a curated record. Lineage: Eukaryota; Viridiplantae; Streptophyta; Magnoliopsida; Rosales; Rosaceae. The transcript is spliced from 3 exons.